Molecule: long non-coding RNA, 1075 nt
Organism: Lontra canadensis (Northern American river otter)
Lineage: Eukaryota; Metazoa; Chordata; Mammalia; Carnivora; Mustelidae
Exons: 2
Source: RefSeq, a predicted model, not a curated record
GGGACCCAUGGAAGACCUGAGACCUAAGACACAAGGUCUAAGACUUCAGAUAAAAACCUAAGAUCCAAGGAUGGAAAGCCCUAGACACACAUAAAGACCUGGGAUUCCUGCUUAUCUAGAUGGACAGAAGGCCAAAGAGAGAACCAUGUCUCAAGACUAAAUUAGGUGGGAAGCUAGAAGCCUAUGACACAGAAUUUGGGAAGGAUAGAAGCCCCAAGACCAAAGGAUAUCUAAAGAUGAGAACACUAAACCCCAUCUUUUUUUCUAUUGCUAUCCUGUCUACCCUUGGACAUUUUUAGUUCUCCCUUUCCAGUUCUUAUGCUUUUAUUUAAGUUCACUUCUUUUGAGGAGCCCUUUUUGAUGUUGUUGUUACCUUAAGAUUACCUUUAGAUUGGCAAUAUUAUGCUCGGGCCAGUCUUAAGCCAGUUUUUAUCACAGUUUUGAGCUAUUAAGUGUUUAUUUUUUAAAUUUCCAUUUCUCUUCACCUCCACUCCUUGAGAGAUGCAUUAUAGGCAACAUUGUAUUUCGGUCCUCCCUUUUCCUUAGAAGCUCUAGCCUGAUGAGCAAAGGCAAGCAUCAGGCUGUUGGGGGAAAACGUCCCAGACUAUCUAGAGGAAAUGUGAAGAGAUGUUCCAGGCCAAUGAGAAGAAUUAGACAAGAAAUACACAGAUGUGCCAUACUGUUGAGAAGCACCAACCUGCAACACCUUUCUUCUUUGAGCUUGGUUUCUGGCAUCCUAAGACUACUACUGAUAAGAAUAAGAACAUGCCGUCAUCUGAUUUUUAUGGCAUAAAUGAAAUUGUGAACAAAGCCGUCUUUAAAGAAAUAGCCUCAUCUCUACCUUUCUACCAAAAAGGGAAUCUAUGCCAAAUAUUCUGAUAAAUGGGAAGAUACACUUGGACUUGUGAACUAAUGUGAAAUGCAGUAUCUUUGAAUUUUGAGUGUUUUGAAGAUUGAAAAACCUUGCUCAUCAUGGGUGACCACAAAAACAAUGUAAAGCCAUCUACAUGUCACAGCUGAGAGAAAUUGGGGAAUGUUGUCUAAUGUCAAAUAAAAUGUACUGUUUUGAAAGCUU